RNAcentral lists this long non-coding RNA (1725 nucleotides) under Haliotis rubra (blacklip abalone). RNAcentral's name for it is "uncharacterized LOC124263800". Lineage: Eukaryota; Metazoa; Mollusca; Gastropoda; Lepetellida; Haliotidae. The record is from RNAcentral.
UGUGGUGGGGUUGCAGUGGAUUAGGGUGGGGUUGUGGUUAGGGUUGAGGGGAUUGGGAUGAGGUAGGGCUGAAGUGCGGUGGGUUUGGGAGGUGACUGCAGUGGAUUGGGGUGGUGUUGUGGUGAGGAGAGGUAGACUAUGCGGUUUGGAGUGGGGUGAGGUUUAGGGCAGUAGUGAGAUGGGGUUGGGUUGAGGGGGAUUGUGGUGAGGUUUGGAGUGGGGGGAGGUUUAGGGCAGUAGUGAGGUGGGGUUGGGUUGAGGUGGGGUAAGGUGGGGGUUGGACAAGGUGGUGUGUUUUCAUCCAAGCUGUAGAUCCAGUAAAAUGUUUCUGAUUGUUUUGAAAUGUUUGUCAUUUUGUGAAUGAUUUCAUAUUCCUUUGCUUGUUAUCUUCUUAAAAUUACUUAUAUCUGAAUUUAGACAGAGCUUUUUACUUUGUGUUUUUGUGGUUUUUGCUAUCAGCCACUUAUCAUGUUGUUGCACCUACCUGUGUUUUGUGAGUCCCUUUCAGUAUUACCUGGCCCCUCACUAUGUCAGUGAUCCUUUAUAACACAUGAAUAAUAUGUAUAUAGACUGCUCCUGUCUAGACAUUGCAAGAAACUUGUAUAAUGUUACAAACAAAUUAAAGCUUUCUGACUACAUGUAUUUCAAGAUUCUUCUAAUCACUUAUACUCUGGUGGUUUGAUAUCCGGGAUAGUUAUCACAUGCAGGAAAGAGUUGUUUGAGUCGGUCAUGCAGGGAACAUGUGUAACAUUAUUACAAGCAAAUUAAAGAAUUUUGACUAUUUCAAGAUUCUUCUAAUCACUUGUACUCUGGUACUCCGGUUCGAUGUCCGGGAUAGUUUCAGUGUUAUCACAAGUAGGAAGGAAAGAUCUGAUUUGGUCAUGUACGGACAUUGGAGGGAACGUGUAACAUUAUUACAAGCAAAUUAAAGAAUUUUGACUAUUUCAAGAUUCUUCUAAUCACUUGUACUCUGGUACUCCGGUUCGAUGUCCCGGAUAGUUUCAGUGUUAUCACAAGUAGGAAGGAAAGAUCUUAUUUGGUCAUGUACGGACAUUGGAGGGAACAUGUGUAAUAUUAUUACAAGCAAAUUAAAGAUUUUUGACUAUUUCAAGAUUCUUCUAAUCACUUGUACCCUCGUGGUUGGAUGUCCGGGAUAGUUUCAGUGUUAUCACAUGCUGGGCAAUGAAGUAACUCUGACGUCUUCCAAAUUUCAACGUUUUACACUCGUGCAGGAUGUCAAACUCAUUUGUCGAGUCACGUACAGAUUCCACCACUCCUUGUCUGGGUGUGCAAUGUACCCCUGCCAUGUAGAUUGCUGUGAUAUUCAAAGUAAUAUGCGCUCAUGAAAUGACCUGUUCUGUCAACAGUGGCCUUUACGUUAGUGCCUACUCCACCAGGACAUAUGGCUGGCUAUCCAUCGUACAUGUAAAAGAAUAUCCGUUGAUCUGAUCAUUGUGAUUUUUGUGAACAUUAUCAUUGUAGCUCAUUAAAUGUAGUCAGAUUCAAUACUCGUCAUUGUGACCAUCUGAGGUCGCCUCCAUAGGUGGGCAUAUUGGGUGAACCAGAUUUGGUCAGUUGAAGACUGGGUUCAGUUGUCAGCUGUCUCAAUUGAUUCUGUUUCAUUUCCUUGUCCCUAGUGAUGUUUCGAUGAUCGAAACUAAUCGAAAAUCGAUCGAAAGAAGGAUUAAAAUGAUUAUCGAUUGUAAAAAACAUAUUUUCGAUUAA